The submitters of this non-coding RNA (74 nucleotides) gave its source as unclassified sequences. The record is from Rfam.
GGGGGAAGGCUUAGAGCCCCCAGCCCGGGAGUGUUAAUAGUGCUGCAUUGGCCAUGCACCACGGUUAGUGAAUC